CUUGGGAAAUCUGUACUCUACCUC
This 24-nucleotide non-coding RNA is filed under the name Arabidopsis thaliana (thale cress). Lineage: Eukaryota; Viridiplantae; Streptophyta; Magnoliopsida; Brassicales; Brassicaceae. The record is from RNAcentral.